GGCUCUGGAGUUCUUGAUUUGCCUCAACAAUUUGCAACAUCUUUUAUAAAUCCAUCUGUCUUUUAGAUAUCUGAAUGUCUUUGUGUGCAAUUUCCAUGGCCUGAUCAGAUUUCAGUAACUUUUUUUUUUUUUCUUUUCUUUCUAUUAAUACCAGUAGCUGUCAGGCUGUUGCUGGUGUAGGGAACCAUUUUCACAGCAACUUGAUGGGAUUAUGUUUUCAAAACCAGCUUCAGAAAAUGUACCUGCAAGUGAGGAAUGUGCAAUAGGGCACUCCCACAGCCUUCUGAAGUGAAUGCAGCGAGCUGUAUGUGCCUUUGUGUGCGGGCCGGCUGCCAGCCAAACUUCUGUGCUCUUUGUGUGCAAGACUCUGCAUUUACCCUUACUGACUUCAUAAGGUUCCAGCCUCAUCAACCCAUUCAACCCAUCAGCCUGUUCUCCAAACCAUCAAGAACCCUCUGAGCAGGCAGACCUGUGCUCCAGUGCGGUACGAGAGUUGCAAAGGAUAAGCAACACAUGAUUCCCAAGUGGUUGGUUGGUUGAUGGACGUCGAGGGCAAGUAAUAACAUCGUUAAAGAGCUAGCAGAGAAGACUGGAGAUCUGGACAUCCUUCUCAGGCAAAUUAGGGUUUUUGUGACCUUCCCCACCUGCAAAGUCGCAUAAGGAUUCUUGCCAUGCAGUGGAGCUGAGGAAAUCAAUCUAUUUCCCUGAUGUGCAAAAGUUCCCAUGCGAGUUGCGUUCCCAUGCACCAGUGAUUAAUGUUGCAGAAAAGGCUAUAAAUAUUACAGAGAUGUAAUACAGCUGUUGAGUGGUGUUCAGCUGUAGGCUUAUUGCAACUUUCAAUAUUUUUAUACCUGAAUUAAAUAGAUAAAUGAACACAGAUGAUGGGCUCUUGUUGAAAAAAUUUUGGGGAAUGAAGUGUCUAGAAUUUAUAAUAGUCUUCUUGUUUGUUAGUUUAACUUCCAAACAUCAUGGAUUUCUUUAGAAACAGCAAUUUUCAAUUUUCCAUGGAUACUUCAUUGCCUGUAUUCCAGUAUUUCAGGGUUUGUACAGCUGUU
Long non-coding RNA from Anas platyrhynchos (mallard), 1055 nucleotides. RefSeq lists it as uncharacterized. The record is from RefSeq and is a predicted model, not a curated record. NCBI's taxonomy places the organism in Eukaryota, Metazoa, Chordata, Aves, Anseriformes, Anatidae.